This 206-nucleotide ribosomal RNA is filed under the name uncultured bacterium. Its description in RNAcentral is "partial 16S ribosomal RNA". It matches the Rfam family "Bacterial small subunit ribosomal RNA", at positions 568 to 774 of the family's 1533-position model. The record is from RNAcentral.
CUCGUAGGCGGUUUGUCGCGUCUGCCGUGAAAGUCCGGGGCUCAACUCCGGAUCUGCGGUGGGUACGGGCAGACUAGAGUGAUGUAGGGGAGACUGGAAUUCCUGGUGCAGCGGUGAAAUGCGCAGAUAUCAGGAGGAACACCGAUGGCGAAGGCAGGUCUCUGGGCAUUAACUGACGCUGAGGAGCGAAAGCAUGGGAGCGAACA